Molecule: ribosomal RNA, 463 nt
Filed under: uncultured bacterium
Lineage: Bacteria
Description: bacterial SSU rRNA
Rfam family: Bacterial small subunit ribosomal RNA
Source: RNAcentral
GAUGAACGCUGGCGGCGUGCCUAACACAUGCAAGUCGAACGCUCGCAAGAGAGUGGCGCACGGGUGAGUAACACGUAGCUAAUCUGCCCUCAAGACAAGGAUAACUGUAGGAAACUACUGCUAAUACUUGAUAAGCUUACGGACUGUAGAGGUCUAUAAGAAAGAUUUAUCGCUUGAGGAUGAGGCUGCGCGCCAUCAGCUAGUUGGUAAGGUAAUGGCUUACCAAGGCGACGACGGCUAGGGGACCUGAGAGGGUGACCCCCCACACUGGGACUGAGACACGGCCCAGACUCCUACGGGAGGCAGCAGUGAGGAAUAUUGCUCAAUGGGCGCAAGCCUGAAGCAGCGACGCCGCGUGGAUGAAGAAGGUUUUCGGACUGUAAAAUCUUUUUUCUGUGUGACGAGAGUGGACGGUAGCACAGGAAUAAGUCUCGGCUAACUACGUGCCAGCAGCCGCGGUAAU